This 1040-nucleotide long non-coding RNA is filed under the name Pan troglodytes (chimpanzee). RNAcentral describes it as "lincRNA". Lineage: Eukaryota; Metazoa; Chordata; Mammalia; Primates; Hominidae. The record is from RNAcentral.
CCCGCGCCGCGAGGUCCUAAGCAGCCCGGGCUGUUGCGCGGCGCUGGCGGGCGGGGACACCGCCGGGGAGUGGAUACUCGGAGGCUCAACCUGGGGCCUCUGCCCGUCCUCCCCUAGGUGCGGAGCGGACGGCGGGCACUGGCAACCCCCGGGCCCCUGGAGAGCCCCGCGGCGGCCCAAGACCCGCUCCCGAGACACGUGGGCCCCUCCGGACUUGGUUGGUCCCUGGAGCCAGCUGCGCUCGUCCUCUCCGGCCUCCUUGUCGGCGCUGGAGUGGGUCCACGUCUGCCUUGCGGAGCGCGGUGGUUCCACGCUCCUGAGCGCCCACGCUGCGCAGACCUGGCCGAUCUGCGAGGCGGCGGCAGCGCACUGAAGACCGUGGUGUUUCCCAAGCCCUCCCUGCUCCCGGGCCUCCAGGGCGCAGCAGGGGAGGGUUUUGUCCCCGUGGCCAAAGCUCUGCAGGUCGAACCUUAUCUGCUGUGGGAAGGCCCCGCAUUUUCAGAUUCACGCAGGGCCCUCUGCAGACUGUUGGCAGAAACAAGGUAGCCACCAAACACAUGCAUAAGCUGGACUUUUCCCAGAAUGCUGCAGCAGAACUACCCUCCAGAGAGACACCAGCCUGCGGGCCACAGUGCUACGUGAGUCUUGCAAAGAGGAGAUCUUUAUGGCGAGACUGAGAGCACUGCCUGCAUGCUUUACCAGAGCCCAGCCUCCAGCCUCCACGGAAAAUGUGUUUUGGAAUCAACACGCUUUGCAAAGGCUCCACACUGCUCUCUGGUAGCAUUGGCCUGGGCGCCCAGGCACCCCUUUAGAACCCACCUGUUCCCCCCACCCACCCUAGCGGGAGGAGGAGAGGGUUACACUGACAGAUACCGGCAGCUCUGCAACCCGGGAACAACGCAGACAACAUACAACUCGACAGAGUCACAGAAGGUGGCGUCCAUCGCGCCUGGAUGGUGACUACUGCCCUGCGGGCUGCUGGGUGGGUGAAACACACAGGGAAGAAGCACAAAUACACACACAGAUGUGGCUCAGGGACA